AAUAGAUACCCCCGGGUAGUCCACGCCGUAAACGAUGGAUGCUAGCUGUUAGAAGUAUCGACCCUUCUAGUAGCGAAGCUAACGCGUUAAGCAUCCCGCCUGUGGAGUACGGUCGCAAGACUAAAACAUAAAGGAAUUGACGGGGACCCGCACAAGCGGUGGAGCGUGUUGUUUAAUUCGAUGAUAAGCGAAGAACCUUACCCAGACUUGACAUCCUUGGAAGGCAUCCGAAAGGAUACUGUGCCCUCGGGAACCAAGUGACAGGUGUUGCAUGGCCGUCGUCAGCUCGUGUCGUGAGAUGUUUGGUUAAGUCCAUUAACGAGCGCAACCCUUUUAGUUAGUUGUAUUUUCUAGCUAGACUGCCCCGGUAACGGGAGAGGGAGGGGAUGAUGUCAGGUCAGUAUUACCCUUACGUCUGGGGCUACAAACACGCUACAAUGGCCGGUACAAAGGGCUGCCAACCCGCGAGGGGGAGCAAAUCUCAAUCAAAGCCGGUCUCAGUUCGGAUAGCAGGCUGAAACUCGCCUGCUUGAAGUCGGAAUCGCUAGUAAUGGU
RNAcentral lists this ribosomal RNA (555 nucleotides) under uncultured bacterium. RNAcentral describes it as "bacterial SSU rRNA". It matches the Rfam family "Bacterial small subunit ribosomal RNA", at positions 777 to 1345 of the family's 1533-position model. The record is from RNAcentral.